CCUCUGUCCCUCACUUCCUCUUUCUGUUCAUAAACAUUCUUCCACGACGUGCUGUGCUGGAAUCCCUGAGCCUGCUCUGGCCUGGGAGGCUGCCUGAUUUUACACAAAGAACUCUUGAAUCCCCUUUUAUCAUUUUCUGAACCAUUUGAGAGCAAGCUGCAAUCAUAAGAUCCAGCACCUCUAAACACUCCAGAAUAUAUUUUUAGAUAUAACCCUGUAAUGGCUGAAAAGUGUUCCCCCCAAAUUCACAUCCUCCUGAAACCUCAGAAUGUGACCUUAUUUUGAAAUAGGGUCAUUACAGAUGUAAUGAAGGAUCUCCAAUUGAAUCCGUCCAAGGAUUAAGGUGGGCCCUGAAUCCCAUAGACUGGUGUCCUCAUAAGAAAAGGUGAGGACAAAGAGAGACACAGAGACACACAGAUAGCUAUGUGAAGAUGGAAGCAGAGGUUGGGGAUCUGCUGCCACAAACAAAGGCACCCCAAGUAUUGCCAGCAACCACCAGAAGCAAGGAGAAAGGCAUGGGACGCUUUCUCCAUCAGAGUCUCCGGAAGGAACCAAGCUUACUGACACCUUGAUUUUGGACUUCUAGCCCCCAGAACUUCAAGAUAAUACAUUUCUGUUGUUUAAAGCCAUGUGGUUUGUGGUAAUUUGUUAUGACAGUGCUAGAAAACUUAUACAAACCCUCCAAGGCAGAAAUAAACAUGGGCACAACACUGCUACCCAAUCCACAGAUCCCAUUCAAAUUUUGCUGGCUCAGCCCAUCAUGUCUCUUUUCCCUUUCAGGUCCAGGAUCCAGUCCAGGAGCAUGCAUUACAUUUAGUUGUCACAUGUCCGAAUAGAAGGAAGGAGAUUCCCUUCAAUAUGGAAUAAUUUCUUAGUCUUUCCCUGUCUUCCACAUCCUUCCGUUUUUUGUUUUUGUUUUUAUUUUGAGACAGUCUCACUCUGUCACCCAGGCUGGAGUACAGUGGGGUGAUCAUGGCUCACUAUAGCCUUGACUUCUCCAGGCUCAGGUGAUCCUCCUACCUCAGCCUCCUGAGUAUCUGGGACUACAGGCGUGUGCCACCACACUCGGCUAAUUUUUGCUUUUUUUUGUAGAACAGAGUUUCAAGUUGCUCAGGCUGGUCUCAAACUCCUGGGCUCAAGUGAUCCACCCACCUUGGCCUCCCAAAGUGCUGGGAUUACAGGCACGACCCACUGCAACUGGCCCCACAUCCUUCAGUUUUUAAGAGUGCAGGCCUUUUGUUAUGUAGGAUGGCCCUAGACCUGGUUCCAUCUAAUAUUUCAUUUUGGUCAGACCUCGCCAUGAUUUCUUGACAGGAAAAUGAUGGACAGGAUCCUGGGCUCUGCACAUUACAGCAUAUGAUGUGGUCUUGUCUCAUCACUGGUGAUGUUAAUCUUGAUUGCUUGGUCAUGUUGGUGUCUUCCAUAUUUCUCCUCCAUUGAGUCACCAUUUUCACCUUUGCAAUUGAUAAGCAUUUUGUGGGGAGAUUUUCUAAAAUUAUGCUAAAAUCCUGAUCCUUAACAACUUCUACCCAUCAGCCUUAAUAUUUGUGGAUGAUCCCUAUCUGAAUAAAUUAUAACCAUAAUAGUGUCAUAUGGUGGUUUGCUAUUUUCAUCAUUCCUUCUACAUUAAUUACUUGGUAUUCUACUGUAAGAAAGAA
RNAcentral lists this long non-coding RNA (1658 nucleotides) under Homo sapiens (human). RNAcentral's name for it is "non-protein coding lnc-ADSS-4:1". Lineage: Eukaryota; Metazoa; Chordata; Mammalia; Primates; Hominidae. The record is from RNAcentral.